Magnolia sinica is the source of this 376-nucleotide long non-coding RNA. RefSeq lists it as uncharacterized. The record is from RefSeq and is a predicted model, not a curated record. The transcript has 3 exons. Lineage: Eukaryota; Viridiplantae; Streptophyta; Magnoliopsida; Magnoliales; Magnoliaceae.
CUAGGGAGGCAACUAGCCGAAUCAUUAGCAGAAGCUGUUGUUGGGCUAUUUCUUUCUACCAGGACUGGCAGCCUCAUGAUGUUCUAAGAAGACGAUGACCCGUCCAGCAACGAGGGCAAGCUCAAGCCGUCAAUGUGAACUAAGGAUUGCAAUCUUCAUUUCAGGCUCCUCUGGCCUGAACUUUAUGUACUCAGGGCAUGGUUAAUGCACAAGCAGAGCAUGACUAAAGGUCCAGCUAGUGAUAAAGGCAGGAAUGGAAGUUCAAAACUGCAGCUUGUAUGGAAUCCAGACCAAGUCACUAAUUUAUUUUUUUUAAGAGGAUCAUAUGCAAGGGCUGACAAAACAUGUCCACAUCCUCUAAUAACUGGACUGGCGU